Molecule: ribosomal RNA, 1556 nt
Filed under: Escherichia coli
Lineage: Bacteria; Pseudomonadati; Pseudomonadota; Gammaproteobacteria; Enterobacterales; Enterobacteriaceae
Description: bacterial SSU rRNA
Rfam family: Bacterial small subunit ribosomal RNA
Source: RNAcentral
UUAAAUUGAAGAGUUUGAUCAUGGCUCAGAUUGAACGCUGGCGGCAGGCCUAACACAUGCAAGUCGAACGGUAACAGGAAACAGCUUGCUGUUUCGCUGACGAGUGGCGGACGGGUGAGUAAUGUCUGGGAAACUGCCUGAUGGAGGGGGAUAACUACUGGAAACGGUAGCUAAUACCGCAUAACGUCGCAAGACCAAAGAGGGGGACCUUCGGGCCUCUUGCCAUCGGAUGUGCCNAGAUGGGAUUAGCUAGUAGGUGGGGUAACGGCUCACCUAGGCGACGAUCCCUAGCUGGUCUGAGAGGAUGACCAGCNACACUGGAACUGAGACACGGUCCAGACUCCUACGGGAGGCAGCAGUGGGGAAUAUUGCACAAUGGGCGCAAGCCUGAUGCAGCCAUGCCGCGUGUAUGAAGAAGGCCUNCGGGUUGUAAAGUACUUUCAGCGGGGAGGAAGGGAGUAAAGUUAAUACCUUUGCUCAUUGACGUUACCCGCAGAAGAAGCACCGGCUAACUCCGUGCCAGCAGCCGCGGUAAUACGGAGGGUGCAAGCGUUAAUCGGAAUUACUGGGCGUAAAGCGCACGCAGGCGGUUUGUUAAGUCAGAUGUGAAAUCCCCGGGCUCAACCUGGGAACUGCAUCUGAUACUGGCAAGCUUGAGUCUCGUAGAGGGGGGUAGAAUUCCAGGUGUAGCGGUGAAAUGCGUAGAGAUCUGGAGGAAUACCGGUGGCGAAGGCGGCCCCCUGGACGAAGACUGACGCUCAGGUGCGAAAGCGUGGGGAGCAAACAGGAUUAGAUACCCUGGUAGUCCACGCCGUAAACGAUGUCGACUUGGAGGUUGUGCCCUUGAGGCGUGGCUUCCGGAGCUAACGCGUUAAGUCGACCGCCUGGGGAGUACGGCCGCAAGGUUAAAACUCAAAUGAAUUGACGGGGGCCCGCACAAGCGGUGGAGCAUGUGGUUUAAUUCGAUGCAACGCGAAGAACCUUACCUGGUCUUGACAUCCACGGAAGUUUUCAGAGAUGAGAAUGUGCCUUCGGGAACCGUGAGACAGGUGCUGCAUGGCUGUCGUCAGCUCGUGUUGUGAAAUGUUGGGUUAAGUCCCGCAACGAGCGCAACCCUUAUCCUUUGUUGCCAGCGGUCCGGCCGGGAACUCAAAGGAGACUGCCAGUGAUAAACUGGAGGAAGGUGGGGAUGACGUCAAGUCAUCAUGGCCCUUACGACCAGGGCUACACACGUGCUACAAUGGCGCAUACAAAGAGAAGCGACCUCGCGAGAGCAAGCGGACCUCAUAAAGUGCGUCGUAGUCCGGAUUGGAGUCUGCAACUCGACUCCAUGAAGUCGGAAUCGCUAGUAAUCGUGGAUCAGAAUGCCACGGUGAAUACGUUCCCGGGCCUUGUACACACCGCCCGUCACACCAUGGGAGUGGGUUGCAAAAGAAGUAGGUAGCUUAACCUUCGGGAGGGCGCUUACCACUUUGUGAUUCAUGACUGGGGUGAAGUCGUAACAAGGUAACCGUAGGGGAACCUGCGGUUGGAUCACCUCCUUACCUUAAAGAAGC